UUUUUCCCCCUAACCCCGCUGAACUUAAGCAACAGGGAUUGCCCUAGUAACGGCGAGUGAAGCGGCAACAGCUCAAAUUUGAAAUCUGGCGUCUUCGGCGUCCGAGUUGUAAUUUGCAGAGGGCGCUUUGGCAUUGGCAGCGGUCCAAGUUCCUUGGAACAGGACGUCACAGAGGGUGAGAAUCCCGUACGUGGUCGCUAGCCUUUACCGUGUAAAGCCCCUUCGACGAGUCGAGUUGUUUGGGAAUGCAGCUCUAAAUGGGAGGUAAAUUUCUUCUAAAGCUAAAUACUGGCCAGAGACCGAUAGCGCACAAGUAGAGUGAUCGAAAGAUGAAAAGCACUUUGGAAAGAGAGUUAAAAAGCACGUGAAAUUGUUGAAAGGGAAGCGCUUGCAGCCAGACUUGCCUGUAGUUGCUCAUCCGGGUUUUUACCCGGUGCACUCUUCUAUAGGCAGGCCAGCAUCAGUUUGGGCGGUUGGAUAAAGGUCUCUGUCAUGUACCUCUCUUCGGGGAGAACUUAUAGGGGAGACGACAUGCAACCAGCCUGGACUGAGGUCCGCGCAUCUGCUAGGAUGCUGGCGUAAUGGCUGUAAGCGGCCCGUCUUGAAACACGGACCAAGGAGUCUAACAUCUAUGCGAGUGUUUGGGUGUCAAGCCCGAGCGCGUAAUGAAAGUGAACGGAGGUGGGAACCUUUCGGGGUGCACCAUCGACCGAUCCUGAUGUCUUCGGAUGGAUUUGAGUAAGAGCAUAGCUGUUGGGACCCGAAAGAUGGUGAACUAUGCUUGAAUAGGGUGAAGCCAGAGGAAACUCUGGUGGAGGCUCGCAGCGGUUCUGACGUGCAAAUCGAUCGUCAAAUUUGGGCAUAGGGGCGAAAGACUAAUCGAACUAUCUAGUAGCUGGUUCCUGCCGAAGUUUCCCUCAGGAUA
This 925-nucleotide ribosomal RNA is filed under the name Didymella glomerata. RNAcentral's name for it is "eukaryotic LSU rRNA". It matches the Rfam family "Eukaryotic large subunit ribosomal RNA", at positions 1 to 980 of the family's 3401-position model. The record is from RNAcentral. Lineage: Eukaryota; Fungi; Ascomycota; Dothideomycetes; Pleosporales; Didymellaceae.